UAGGGAAUCUUCGGCAAUGGACGAAAGUCUGACCGAGCAACGCCGCGUGAGUGAAGAAGGUUUUCGGAUCGUAAAACUCUGUUGUUAGAGAAGAACAAGGACGUUAGUAACUGAACGUCCCCUGACGGUAUCUAACCAGAAAGCCACGGCUAACUACGUGCCAGCAGCCGCGGUAAUACGUAGGUGGCAAGCGUUGUCCGGAUUUAUUGGGCGUAAAGCGAGCGCAGGCGGUUUCUUAAGUCUGAUGUGAAAGCCCCCGGCUCAACCGGGGAGGGUCAUUGGAAACUGGGAGACUUGAGUGCAGGAGAGGAGAGUGGAAUUCCAUGUGUGGCGAUGAAAUGCGUAGAUAUAUGGAGGAACACCAGUGGCGAAGGCGGCUCUCUGGUCUGUAACUGACGCUGAGGCUCGAAAGCGUGGGGAGCAAACAGG
Molecule: ribosomal RNA, 429 nt
Filed under: Chloroflexota bacterium
Lineage: Bacteria; Bacillati; Chloroflexota
Description: Chloroflexi bacterium partial 16S ribosomal RNA
Rfam family: Bacterial small subunit ribosomal RNA
Source: RNAcentral